Molecule: microRNA precursor, 64 nt
Filed under: Myotis brandtii (Brandt's bat)
Lineage: Eukaryota; Metazoa; Chordata; Mammalia; Chiroptera; Vespertilionidae
Description: mir-9242 microRNA precursor family
Rfam family: mir-9242 microRNA precursor family
Source: Rfam by way of RNAcentral
GGCCUCCCUCUUUGGGGCAAUCGAUCAUGGAGCCCCUGCAUCGAUUGCCCCAUAGAGGGUGGUC